Saccostrea cuccullata (small rock oyster) is the source of this 497-nucleotide long non-coding RNA. RefSeq lists it as uncharacterized. Lineage: Eukaryota; Metazoa; Mollusca; Bivalvia; Ostreida; Ostreidae. The record is from RefSeq and is a predicted model, not a curated record. The transcript is spliced from 3 exons.
UUUAUCCGAACACUAGAGGCCAACCAGUGUAUACACACGGCGGCAAAUUCAAAGUCUACGGGGAUUUAACAUUGUCAAAAUGGCCACCGCUUCGGAAGGGGAUCAUCCAUUGUUCGUAAUUUUCCGUACAUUGCCGUCAGUAAGGAAAUGACGUCACGCACGUUCGGGAGUGCUCUAUGGUUAUCGACGUCCGAAUUACCUAUAACGCCCGAGACUGCCAAGUAUAUAUUUGUACUGCAAAAAAUUACGUCUUCAACAAAACUUUCAUCUGUUCAUACCCAGACUGAGACCGAAGGGAUCAAAGAUUCAUUAAAGGGUUAUACACUGCAUAAAGCAAAGAGGAUACUGAAUAGCUACCUGGUGAAGACACAAGAUGGAAAAGCACUAACAUGGCUGUGUACAUUACAUAUAUUAACUUAAGCCAUAAGUACCCGCAGAUAUAUUUUACAAGAGGAAUAAAUGUUAAUAAAAGUCAAGCGCCCACUGAUGCUGAAGUG